This 120-nucleotide transfer RNA is filed under the name Microdochium bolleyi. It matches the Rfam family "tRNA". From Rfam's summary of the family: Transfer RNA (tRNA) molecules are approximately 80 nucleotides in length. Their secondary structure includes four short double-helical elements and three loops (D, anti-codon, and T loops). The record is from Rfam by way of RNAcentral. Lineage: Eukaryota; Fungi; Ascomycota; Sordariomycetes; Xylariales; Microdochiaceae.
GGUGCUAUCGUCUAGUGGUUAGGACAUCACGUUGUGGCCGUACGCAAGUACAGUUAACACUAACUUUCACGGAAGUAAAAAAUUGCCGUGAAAACGCCGGUUCGAUUCCGGCUAGCGCCA